GGGGAAUCUUGCGCAAUGGACGAAAGUCUGACGCAGCGACGCCGCGUGGGCGACGAAGGCCUUCGGGUUGUAAAGCCCUGUGGGGCGGGACGAACAACUGUCACGUGAAUAAUGUGGCGGCUUGACGGUACCGCCUUAGCAAGCACCGGCUAACUCUGUGCCAGCAGCCGCGGUAAUACAGAGGGUGCAAACGUUGCUCGGAAUUACUGGGCGUAAAGCGCGUGUAGGUGGUUUCAUAAGUCGGGUGUGAAAGCCCAGGGCUCAACCCUGGAAGUGCACUCGAUACUGUGAAACUUGAGUACUGAAGAGGAGAGUGGAAUUCCCGGUGUAGAGGUGAAAUUCGUAGAUAUCGGGAGGAACACCAGUGGCGAAGGCGACUCUCUGGGCAGUAACUGACACUGAGACGCGAAAGCGUGGGUAGCAAAC
Molecule: ribosomal RNA, 426 nt
Filed under: uncultured bacterium
Lineage: Bacteria
Description: bacterial SSU rRNA
Rfam family: Bacterial small subunit ribosomal RNA
Source: RNAcentral